Molecule: ribosomal RNA, 371 nt
Filed under: Pseudoselenomonas ruminantium
Lineage: Bacteria; Bacillati; Bacillota; Negativicutes; Selenomonadales; Selenomonadaceae
Description: bacterial SSU rRNA
Rfam family: Bacterial small subunit ribosomal RNA
Source: RNAcentral
AAAGAUGGGGACAACAGUCCGAAAGGACUGCUAAUACCGAAUGUUGUAUCGUUUCCGCAUGGAGAUGAUAUUAAAGAUGGCCUCUACUUGUAAGCUAUCGCUUUGUGAUGGGUCUGCGUCUGAUUAGCUGGUUGGUGGGGUAACGGCCUACCAAGGCGACGAUCAGUAGCCGGUCUGAGAGGAUGAACGGCCACAUUGGAACUGAGACACGGUCCAGACUCCUACGGGAGGCAGCAGUGGGGAAUCUUCCGCAAUGGGCGAAAGCCUGACGGAGCAACGCCGCGUGAGUGAAGAAGGGUUUCGGCUCGUAAAGCUCUGUUGACGGGGACGAACGUGCGAGAUGCGAAUAGUUUCUUGCAAUGACGGUACCC